GGGCCCUCAGCUAUGCCAGGUCUCCCAGACAACCUCCAAAGGCACCCCCUUCAGGCUCACCCCGCCCUCCUGCCGCCCCUCAGCCCCACGGACCCCGGCAGGCAUGUUGGGAGGAAUGUGGUCAUGUCUGGGGCUGCCUGACGCGUCCCAUCUCCCCAGACAGGUCCUAACAGCUCCUGCUGGAGGUUCCAACACUCCUCCUAGGAUCAAUGGCUCCCUGCAGGGAAGCGAUGCCUCCCUCUCCCCCCACCCUAACCCAAAGCAGAGGUCAGGGAGCUGCCCUCCCCGCCCCCUGCCACUGGGGCUCAGAAGACAAUGCUGAGACAGACACUCGAGGCUGUGGGCUCCACAAAACUGCCAUGCUGAGGACGCUCAAGAUCCAAUCCAGGAUUCCACUCACUUGUUGUCAUGUCUCCUGCAGUCUGUGACAGUCCCUCGUCGUCGUUCCUUGUCUUUUAAGACCUUGACGCUUUUGAAGCGUACUGGUCGGUUAUUUUGAAAAUAUCCCUCGGUUUGGGUUUUUCUGAUAUUUUCUCAACAUCAGAUUGAGGUGAUGCAUUUUGGCAAGAAAAGCACAGAAGUGUCGUUGUGGUCUUCUCAGUGCAUCAUCUCAAGCGUCCGUGUGUUGACGUGUCUUAGGGCUGGUGACAUUAACCUUGUUCAUUGGCUAAGGUGGGGUUUACUAGGUUUCUCCACUGUGAUAUUAUUUUUCUUGCUGAAACUAAUAAAUACUUUGAGGAAGAUACUUUGAGACUAUG
This is a long non-coding RNA of Aethalodelphis obliquidens (Pacific white-sided dolphin), 758 nucleotides long. RefSeq lists it as uncharacterized. The transcript is spliced from 2 exons. The record is from RefSeq and is a predicted model, not a curated record. NCBI's taxonomy places the organism in Eukaryota, Metazoa, Chordata, Mammalia, Artiodactyla, Delphinidae.